AGCUCCAUUGGCGUAUAUUAAUGUUGUUGCAGUUAAAAAGCUCGUAGUUGAAUUUUGAUUUCUGAUGUGUUGUUUUUAGUUAUUUUUAGUAAAGAUAGUUGUCAGGGAUUUAUUUUGUUUCAAAUGGCUUGAUGUUAUUUAUUUAAUGUUGAGAUUUUUAGACAUUUGGCAUCUUUUACUGUGAAAAAAUUAGAGUGUUCAAAGCAAGCUAUAUUAAUGCUUAUGAAUAGAUCAGCACGGAAUAAUAAGAUACGACUAUUUCAGUAUUUUGUUGGUUUAUGUGAUUUAGUAAUGAUGAAUAGGAACAGUUGGGGGUAUUUGUAUUUUAGAGUCAGAGGUGAAAUUCUUGGAUUUCUGAAAGACAAACUACUGCGAAAGCAUUUACCAAGGAUGUUUUCAU
This 400-nucleotide ribosomal RNA is filed under the name phytoplankton environmental sample. RNAcentral's name for it is "partial small subunit ribosomal RNA". It matches the Rfam family "Eukaryotic small subunit ribosomal RNA", at positions 587 to 973 of the family's 1831-position model. The record is from RNAcentral.